Molecule: small nuclear RNA, 193 nt
Filed under: Lates calcarifer (barramundi perch)
Lineage: Eukaryota; Metazoa; Chordata; Actinopteri; Centropomidae
Description: U2 spliceosomal RNA (ENSLCAG00010000035.1)
Rfam family: U2 spliceosomal RNA
About the family: U2 is a small nuclear RNA (snRNA) component of the spliceosome (involved in pre-mRNA splicing).
Source: Rfam by way of RNAcentral
AUCGCUUCUCGGCCUUUUGGCUAAGAUCAAGUGUAGUAUCUGUUCUUAUCAGUUUAAUAUCUGAUACGUCCCCUACCCGGGGACCAUAUAUUAAAUUGAUUUUUGGAUCAGGGAGCCGGAACGGGGGGCUUGCUCCUUCCACUCCACGCAUCGACCCGGGUAUUGCAUUACCUCCAGGUACGGUGCACAUUCU